CUGAUGAGUUGGUUUAGACCAAUUAACCCACCUGUUGAGGUGAGUCAAUGCCUUCUCUUUGUUUUGCUUGAUGACCAAUAGGAAACUUCUCCACUCAUCCAUCACGAAUGUCUUUCUUUGCAUUAUUUCACCAUGUAAUCGACUUCAUUGCAGUAUUUUCUUCAAUUGCAUAAUAGCUCAGACUGUUUUUCACCUCGGUAUACUUUACCUCGCCAACUUCAGCCACAGAGCAAUUAGAGCUGGAGGGGAGUGGGACCUCCCAAGAAAAAUUAAUCAGGAUGUCUUACAUCUCCAAGUUUUGUCCUGACUCUUCAAGUUUAUGGUCUUCCAACCGAGUUGGCAGCAGAUCAAAAAAACAGACGGAUGUUCUCUUGUGCCACAACACCUACCUGAGAGCUCUCAGCAAGCGCUAUCAUGCAGACAACGCCUGGAUAUACCACUCAGCAACGUCUGCGACCCCUCGUCACCACGGACAGAUUACGGGACCAUGACCUUUCAAGAGAUUCCUGCUACAGAAGAUUCAAACCACUACAGAAUACUGCGCAGAAUAUUUUAGGAGACCAUCAACUGAAGUGGGAUUUGCACAUCCCUACCUACAGGACCCAUCUUUUUGCAACAAAAAAUGUUAAUAUAAGUAAAUUCAAACAGGAGCUUUGGCAUUAAGGACCCCCUGACUCCUGUGGCCCUUGGGUCUGUGCCUGCUGGGCCCAUUUGGUAAUCUGUCCAUGUUCGUCACAGGUUGUGUAGCCCCAUUUGGACGGGAUUAAUAUUAAUGAUCGUUGCAGGGUGUUGUAGCAGAAGGACAAGCAGCCCUUCCAGUGGAAAGAUCUACCUCAAAGAUGUACUUUAAAAUACAGGGACGAUGCUCCAGAUGGGAUUUAAAUGACCGGUAGAUCAUUUCUGCUGUAAUCAAUUCUGGGGAGGGUGAAUUUGAGGCACAGAUGCUAGUUGUCUAUUUCUGUGAAAACACACAAAGCGCUGAUACCUAGACCUCCUUUACAGCUGACAAAGGCAGCUAAUUGCAAUUGAAUAUGACCCAGCUUUUAUGUAGUGUUUUCAAUGGUAAUUUAGUAGCUUCAAAGUCAAUCCUUUUUAUUGUGGUGCUUCCAUUUCGCUGUGUAGUCCCUUUGGAAACAUUAUCACCUGCUUACUGUGUGAUUGCGUGUUGCUACUGAGGGCAGCGCCUAUAAACCUCUACCACUAAUGUGUGUGAGUAAACCAGGAAAUUUAAGUAGAUUUGUUAGAGAACUGUGCAGUCUAGUGGUGAAGCAAUAAGUCAGUUAAUCAGAAAAUCAAUUAAUCCUUUAGGUCAUUUCUCUGGCUUCUCAAAAACGUUGAGAUUUGCUGCAUUUCUCUGUCUUAUAUAAUAGUAUUUGAAUAUAUUCGAGUUUUGGCAGUUUAAAGAUGUCACAAUUUUCUAUUCAUUUUUAUUGACUAAACGACUGACAACUGUUAGCUGAAAUAAUCUCUGUUGCAGCCCUGAGGCAGUCCUUGCUUCAGCUUCUGUCACAAAACCCCCAGAAGAUAAAACAAUCAUGUCCAAUUAAAAGAUACCAUAACUUAACAACACAAAAAAAAUAAUGAUAUUCUGUGUUCUUUUUUCUUGACAAGCUAAUAGGGAUUUUGACGGAGAAUUGGCAGUAGCUGGUAUGUCCCAUAUUGUAACUACUAGAAAGCUUAGAAGUGCUGGCUCAUGAGAUUCAGGCUUGAUUCCACAAAAGCAAUUUGCACCUAUUGGUGAAGAUGAAUACAGUUAAUGUAAAUGAAGAAACCGCCCUGCAAAGCACUUGAGCCGAAGCCCUUCCUAUCUAGUGCCCUUCUCUACAAAUGCACUCUGCUGUGCCAAUGGUGGACCUAUUUCAAUGUCACAUUAAAAUAUCAUUCCUGAUCCAAUAGUCUCAUUGCCUGCAGUAAGUACUCAUCUAAAACAAUGGGCUAAUGCGUCAGAUGCACUCUGCUGUUAGUCAAUUCGUCUCCAACAAUGUCCUCUUAGCAUUUAGUAUUAGCACACUUGAUAGGGACACAAUGCAAGGUUUGACUGAGCUCAGUAAAAUAAAAAAUAAAAAAGGUGGUUAACAAAUGGCACAAGGAGAUGCAGAAAGGCAGUAAAAAGCAGGAGAUUAGGGGGGAAAAGCCAAUGAGAGAUGGGAGAGAGAAUAAGAGAGGCAGAUAAGGGAUAAUGAGGUGUUCGCAGCAGGAGUGAUAGAGAAUAUAAAGGAAAAAGGUGCAAAUAAUGGGCAAGUGGAAUUUGGGGAAGAGACAAGAGGAGAUAAAGGUGAAAAAAGGACCAGAGGAAGGUUGUGGUAUCUGGCCAGGCUCAGCAAAACAGGGGCUAAAAAUGUGAGCUGGGAUAGAGAGGCGCCACGCUGAGGGCGAAACAGGAUUGUCAGAAAAGUGCGACAUCGAUGGAGCCAUCGGCCUUUGAGUGACAGGAUGGUGUGAGGGCGCACUGAGGGCAGCUCGAGGGACCACGAGGACCAGCACUGAAGCAAUAUGGGAGCAAGAAAUGUUGCAGAAUGCCUGAACAAGUGUUUUGAACAGCAUUAUUAUCCUGAUAGAGUUGAAAUUUAGCUUUGCUUAUUAUAGUCUGGAAAAGAAGCAUUUUCUUCAGCUAGAGGCAACAUCAAUCAGUAAAAUAACAAAUGAAGUUGUCAGCACUCACAAAUAAGUGUAUAUCACUUUUUUAAUGAUGCAGAGAGAUGAGAUGAGAGAUUUCCUGUUGCCAGACACUUUAAUUCUGCAGGUCUACACUUCAUGGGUAUCGAGACUGUAAGGCCACUGUUGAGGGAAGGUGAAAGGAAGAGGAAACAUCUCCAAAGAGAGACAUAUUAGAUUCACUACUUACAAAGCAAGUAUCCUAGAGGUUUAAACAAAGAAUUGCUGUUGUCUUGUUUCUUAUGAAUAUGUGUAUUAUUGAUAUAUACGCAUUUGUAUAUAUUCUAUGGAGGUUUUGCAUAUGAUUGGUUUUAUUGUUUGUGUGUAAAUCUAGCAGUCGUUUAUCUGGCUUUUACAAUCACAUAUGUGAUAUAGUGCAUAGAUCUAUGACUCAUCUGGCUGUUUCUUACUAAUAUUUAUCUCUUGACGAUGAUUUGUAUUUUUGUACAUGCAUUUGUAGGCUAUUUUUUAUGGAGAUUCUGCACAUAAUGAGGUUACAUAUGUAGACCCACAUACAUGCAAUUUUUAUCAUUAGUGUGUAAAUUCAAUUCAAGUCACCAUGCAAUCACAUAUUGUGAUAUAUCUCCUCUGAUGGCUUAAAUUGCUUGGAAUUUUCUUAUUUUUCUUAUUAUUAGUGCUGUUUUUUUGAUGAUUUGUAUCUGUUUGUGCCUGUUUGAAUGAUUUGUAUCAGCUGGUUGUAAUCACCAGCAGGUUCCUGGCUGCUGUUUGAUAGGGGUCACACUGACUAAUGUUUCAGUAACACUGAGGAAAGCCUAGGGCUGAAACAUGUUUUUUUUUUGCUGCUGUGCAUCAUUAAAAAAGUGACAUACACUUA
This is an RNA transcript of Thunnus maccoyii (southern bluefin tuna), 3490 nucleotides long. RefSeq lists it as uncharacterized. The transcript has 3 exons. The record is from RefSeq and is a predicted model, not a curated record. NCBI's taxonomy places the organism in Eukaryota, Metazoa, Chordata, Actinopteri, Scombriformes, Scombridae.